CAGCCCCUCGAGUGGUGGGGAUGAUUAUUUGGCCUAAAGCGUCCGUAGCCGGCCGGGUAAGUUUCCCGUUAAAUCCAGCGUCUCAAGCGUUGGACUGCGGGAAAUACUGCCUGGCUAGAGAGUGGGAGAGGUCAGCGGUAUUCUGGGGGUAGGGGCGAAAUCCUUUGAUCCCCGGAGGACCACCAGUGGCGAAGGCUGCUGACUAGAACACGUCUGACGGUCAGGGACGAAAGCUGGGGUAGCGAACCGGAUUAGAUACCCGCGUAGUCC
This 270-nucleotide ribosomal RNA is filed under the name uncultured archaeon. Its description in RNAcentral is "partial 16S ribosomal RNA". It matches the Rfam family "Archaeal small subunit ribosomal RNA", at positions 477 to 747 of the family's 1478-position model. The record is from RNAcentral.